GCGGACGUAGCCGAAUUGGUAUAGGCGCAGCGCUUAGGACGCUGUAGGGAAACCUGUGUGGGUUCGACUCCCACCGUCCGCA
Molecule: transfer RNA, 82 nt
Filed under: bacterium
Lineage: Bacteria
Description: tRNA-Leu
Rfam family: tRNA
About the family: Transfer RNA (tRNA) molecules are approximately 80 nucleotides in length. Their secondary structure includes four short double-helical elements and three loops (D, anti-codon, and T loops).
Source: RNAcentral